RNAcentral lists this non-coding RNA (48 nucleotides) under Schistosoma margrebowiei. Lineage: Eukaryota; Metazoa; Platyhelminthes; Trematoda; Strigeidida; Schistosomatidae. The record is from RNAcentral.
AUCCGACUGACGAGUUCUGAAUAGGACGAAACACGCGUCAAACAGGAU